Molecule: long non-coding RNA, 210 nt
Filed under: Malus domestica (apple)
Lineage: Eukaryota; Viridiplantae; Streptophyta; Magnoliopsida; Rosales; Rosaceae
Description: long non-coding RNA (MDOM_LNC013319)
Source: RNAcentral
AAACUACGAAGUUCACAUGAUCUAUCUCGAUCAGGCUUCAUGGGAAGAGUGUCAUCUCCUAUUAAAGAAGCAAAAACAACUCCUCGAGAGUUUGGGAAGAAUUUCUGAAAGGCAAGAGGCCGGGGGGCAAAUUUCCACUUCGGCCACAACCAAUAUUCGGCCUAAGAAAAUUGUUAAUUCGGCCGAAGAACAAAGGCCACCUAUUUUUUC